AAGAGUAAAGAAAUUCUAAGCAAUAAGGUCACAUUUUUUUCUUCUAUCUUUUUUCGUACUCUCUUUCAUCUCUGUCCAUCUUUUCCAUUUUGAGGAUGAAAAGGAUAGUUUCGACGAGGAUGGUGCCAGUCCCUAC
Molecule: non-coding RNA, 136 nt
Filed under: uncultured Stichotrichia
Lineage: Eukaryota; Ciliophora; Spirotrichea
Source: RNAcentral